UCUGAGGGGACUCCGGGGGGAUCCCGGUGCCCCGGGGCUUCCCCAGCUCCGGAGGGAGCACAGGAGGGCCUUUGGACACUGCCGGUGCCGCUCUGCCCUCACGGGUUUGCUCGCGCUUGUCGUGUAUUUCACGUCUUUUUGUUUAUUUGUUUGUUUAUUUUCCUGUGCCAAAUCUUAAAAGGGAAAAAUGACUCAUUCGCAGUAGUUCUGAGUGGAGCUGGCUUAACCCUACGCUAGACGUCAUAGUUGGCAGCAGCUGCUGCCAGACUUAGGUAAACAGGAAUGUCUAGCAGCAAAAUGAAGUAGUAGCAUAAAAAUGCAGUUGCACUAAAACUGUUAUCAAAUGGUAAGAAAACAACUGAAGUGGCAGAUGAGGAGAGGAGAGAGAGAAAAACUGCAGUUUCAGUGCUAACACCUCAGUACCCAUUUCUGAUGUCUCAGUAUUUUUAAUUUCCUCCUGAGAAUUUUUGGAAGAAGACCACCCUGCUGUCAUCCUCCUGGGAUAAGCAAAAAGGAAAUGAAUCUUCAAAAGACCUGAAAGGCUGUUUGGUCUUUCUUCCAUAGACUUUCACUAGAAGCUUCUCCAGCAGCUCUGAGGAGCUGCAGCAGUCUGUCACAUGCUGCUGAAGGCACACUUCAAUCCCAGCAGCUGGCACAAGGGUGUGUGAGGAUGGGAGCGCUCUUGGCGUAAGUGUUGGAAGAUCAUCCCACUAAGAAGGAUCCAGCUUGGAUCCUGUGUCCAGAGUCUCCCUGGAGUAUGGUAAGCCAAGAAGGAGCCUCAGGUGCAAAGCAGCAUGUGUGUCAGAUCAGGGCCAGGCAUGAACCAAAGUCAAACUGUUGGUGGGGUACUCCAAAGAGAUCAAGCUGGCCUGAAAUAUUGGCCAUGCAACUCCCCCAGGUCCAGAGUAGUUCUUGUUCCCAGCACUGUCAGCUUUGUUUUGGAGAGACUGUUACAGAAUGCUUCCAAACUUCACAAUUCACAGAGACUAACACCUAUAGUACAAAAUAGUUACAUCUCUAACUCCUAUGUGCCACAUUGCAAGUCAAAUUGUUCCCCUAUUCUUUUCCCUUUGUACCCCUUGUUCCUUACACAUAUGCAGGGUGAGCACAGCAUGGUGUUGGCUCUGUCCUUGGGCACUCCUGAGUCAUCCAUGCUUUACCCCCUUAGCAGUCAAGGGAUGUUUCCUCUGACUUCAAUGCCAUGAGUCACCAUGGUGGAUGAGUGGUCUUUCUGUUCUGUGAUAUUGAUAACCCUGGGAAAAAAACAAACUUGUCAUAAACUCUGUGGAGAUACUGAGCCUUGAGAAAAAUCAGGAUGGUCUUUUAUUUUACUACAUCUUGCUUGGUUAAGACUCAUAACAGCUUUCUUUCCCUUCUGUUUAAUAAUAAAUCUCUUUUUUUCACCCUUACCAAGCUCUGCAAAUACACCUUCCCAUCCUGUAUUUCCUCUACUCAGCAUCAGGGAAAAGCUGGGCACACACGUAUUGCAUAGCUUUGGACAUUACAGAAGCAAAGAGAAAGAAAGGUCACACAUGAGUCUUAUCUCUGGCUUUGCAGUUCUGGCCUGUUUUGCAAGCAAGACACAUAUGUCCUUUAAUUAUUCAUUAGGGUAACUGCAAACUCUCUGAGACUGCCUGCACCUCUUGCAGCAGAGGAGGCUGUGGCUGUAACACCGGCACAGAGGUACACAAACAACCAGAAAAAGUAAGAUAUUUGUCAGAAAUAAAGUGCAGGAAAACAGAGAGAAGAAUGAAGCAAUUAAUCAUUCAGAAAGGAGGGAGUAGGGCAGGGAGGGAGAGAGAAAGAGAGAGAGAGAGAGAGAAUGGCAAAAGAAACCUGAUAGCUUGUGCUGCCUCCCCUGAAGUCUGUCAGCCCACUGGCAGGAAGAUUAAGGCUGUUGAUGGGAAUUCCUUUCUCACCACAGUCGGCUUAAAAAGCACAGGACAAUAACCUACUUUUACAGGUCUGGCUGUGGCUUUCCCACAACACAUCUUUUUCUCCCCUUACUCUAAACAAAAAAGGAUGAUCCCUUGCGGUGCCUGUUAUCUGAGUGCUGCCCUCACAGCUGAGGUGAAGGUAUUGAUUGAAACACUUGGACAUUUAUUGGAUUUGCAGCUUUUCUGAUGUGUGAAAAAUGCUUUGUCCCGCUCAAGUCAUACAGUCCUACAUGCUCCAGCAUUUGCUGAUGUAACCACCAAAGGUCCAGACCCUCUGCUAGACUUCUUUUGUGAAGAGACCAAGCAGUGAAAUCCCUGCAAGGCAGAAUACAGAUUUCAAAGCAUCAGAUUUAACAAUAUACUUGACUCUGGACUUGAAGAGCCUGCACAGCUUAGAGUUCACCUCCCCUUGACCCUCUGGGAAGGACAAUACCCACUGCUGUAUCCACAGCUUAAGCUGGAUUGCCUGUUUCAGUAUCUUGCUCUUUUAGGAACCUGUUUAGCAGAGGGAAUUUGCACUGGCAGGUUGCCCUGGAUGGCUCCUUGAAUCAAGUUCUCCAUCCCUGCCCAUGGCUUAUUUACUGGAUUCAGUACUUGUGGAAUGGGGAAAAGCAAGAAAGAAAAGAAAAAAAUUAUUUAGAGGCAAGGUCAGUGCCAUCCUUUUGCCCCAUAAGAAUAGAACCUUUUGCUUUCUAGUUUAUACAGACCUGCAAGAUUUUGAUCUGAGCAAGGAAAGAAUGAUUGACCCUCUUACAAAGACUCUUGCACCACUCUCUUACACCUGUGCUUUACUUUUACCCUUGUUUGCUAAUAUCACAAAGAAGGCAAUGUGUCCUGGGGAAGGUGACAUUUCUGUGCUCUGUGAUGACAUCACUGGCAUCAGUCACUUGCUCUUGGAUCUCUGUGUGCUUGAGUCAGCCUGGCCUUUUUGCAUUUUCAGAAAGGGCCAUCCCUGGAGUGAUUUCCAGGCUAAAAGAUCGUUGGUUCUGUACACACAGGAUCCUUCUGUGUUGCAAGAGCAUCAGCUCUUGAAAUGCCUGAUCUAAAUCUCCACAAGAACUACUCACUAUUGCAGUACCUGAGGAGUGAAGUCUCACAUCAGCCUUCAGCAGUGCAAUUAAAACAAAACAGCCUCAUGUUUGACUUGUUUCCAAUACAUGAUUCUUCUAUUUUCCGGGUUGAGGCUCUCCAAAUAACCAGGCUGAAGUAGAGCAGGAAGAACAGAAAUGGUAGUUGGGUGUCCACUUACCAGCAGCAACUGUCCCAGCUCUCAGCUGAAAUAUAUUUUAGGAUCCUAAUAGAUAAUGCCACCAUUUCUUUGUAAAGAAAAUGCAUUGUUAUAUUCUUAACAGUUUUUCAUAGGUAUUUGAUUGGGAUGACACAUAUAAAAUAAAAAGUAGCAUACAAAGGAGUUUUAGAAGCAGUAACAUACCAUAUUUCUAAAAAGCCAAACCAAUAAUUAAAUUCACAGGACAAUGGAUUUUUAAUUUUUUUUUUUUUUAAGUGGAAGUCAAUAUGUUGUGCUAUAAACAAAGCUUUAAUCCAGGGUUACUCCAGAUAACACAGUUAUGUUUUGCAGUCAAUAGUCCCCAAAAGAACAUUAAGCUUGUAUAGAUGCCGGACUAAGAAGGUGGCAUAUUUACAAUACAUUUCACUGAUUUAUAUGUGCUUUUCCCUCUCCAUCCAAGCAAUAGCUUUUCUUCAUCCCUAUCCUAACAGAUGCAGCAAUGGGGUUUGUUUCAGGCUUUGUUUGGGAGAUUAAAACCAUCUCAGUAUAAUCUCUUUUUGUUUUAUACAUUGAAGGAAGCAUUAGAGAUGAAAAUGAAAGCCACAAUGGAUUUCAUUAAUCACACCGGGAGGCUUGGUUUGCUGUAGUAGGCACUUCCAGCAGAAGGUGCUCACAAUCAGUUUAAAUAUUAAACGCCCUCCUGUGUUUAAAUAGUGAUGAGAAAAUCUGUGCAAUCACAGCUCCUCUUGGGACAGGGGUUCUUUUAAAAGGGCCAAUAUUGUCCAAACCAUCUCAUCUUAUGGUCAAUCCCUCUUUCCAGCGAUGUAAGCCUCUGUGGAACUGCAAGGACAAAAGGACUGGAAAAGUCAGUGCCUGGGGGAAUUGCUGUGAGAUAAAGGAAGUGUCACCUCUGGGUCACCAGCGCAAAAGAAAUAAUGGUCAUAAGGCCCAACAGUUACGGUGGUGGGACAGGUGCUGGCAGCACGACGCACCAGCCUGCCCAGUCCUUGGAGAGUAGGUGCUCACAUUACAAAAAGCAGCACUGCUGUUAACUGAUGCUGCCAAGAAAAAGGCCAAGAUUCAACGGGUCCCCCAAGCUGGGCUGUUGGGGUGUAUCCCCACAAAAGGCCAAGUCCCAGUGGCAGAUGGCCAGAGGGAAGUUUGCAUUCCCACAAUUCAUGUUCUAACUGUUACGAAUAAUCAGCAGCUCUCCGGGGCCCCGAGUCUGACGCCAGGCAGGAGCCAGCCCUACUUGAAAACUGCAUCAGUCACCAACUGUCCCAGCCAAAAACAUCCUUGGACUGAUGUGUUGGGUCUGUUGCAUACAGAUGAACAUGGUCUAAGUGAAGGAAAGGAAAGCAAGCCCCAAGAAAGAAGCGUACAAAGAAAAAAGCUGUAAAACUCAUAAUUCCUGUCUGCAGAAUCUUGGAAUCAAAAGCACAAGUUCCCUUUAAAAUGUUUUUGUGCCAUCACUGUUAAAGCCUUGCUUGAAAUUAGAGUAUAAUCAGAAAUUGAGGGAAUGGGGUCUUAGCAAAUGUGACAAUAU
This is a long non-coding RNA of Vidua macroura (Pin-tailed whydah), 4711 nucleotides long. RefSeq lists it as uncharacterized. The transcript has 4 exons. The record is from RefSeq and is a predicted model, not a curated record. Lineage: Eukaryota; Metazoa; Chordata; Aves; Passeriformes; Viduidae.